UUGGAGGGCAAGUCUGGUGCCAGCAGCCGCGGUAAUUCCAGCUCCAAUAGCGUAUAUUAAAGUUGUUGCAGUUAAAAAGCUCGUAGUUGAAUUUCGGGAUCAAUAUAUCGGUCGUGCCAUCGGUACGUACUGGUAUGAUUGGUUUCUCCUUUCUGACGAACCAUGAUGUCAUUAAUUUGGUGUUAUGGGAAGUUAGGACUGUUACUUUGAAAAAAUUAGAGUGUUUAAAGCAGGCUUUAGCUUGAAUACAUUAGCAUGGAAUAAUGAAAUAGGACGUUCGAACCUAUUUUGUUGGUUUCUAGGAUCAACGUAAUGAUUAAUAGGGAUAGUUGGGGGCAUUAGUAUUCAAUUGUCAGAGGUGAAAUUCUUGGAUUUAUUGAAGACUAACUACUGCGAAAGCAUUUGCCAAGGAUGUUUUCAUUAAUCAAGAACGAAAGUUAGGGGAUCGAAGACGAUCAGAUACCGUCGUAGUCUUAACCAUAAACUAUGCCGACUAGGGAUCGGAUGAUGUUAAUUUUUUAAUGACUCAUUCGGCGCCUUACGGGAAAC
RNAcentral lists this ribosomal RNA (549 nucleotides) under uncultured Glomus. RNAcentral describes it as "SSU rRNA". It matches the Rfam family "Eukaryotic small subunit ribosomal RNA", at positions 548 to 1098 of the family's 1831-position model. The record is from RNAcentral. Lineage: Eukaryota; Fungi; Glomeromycota; Glomeromycetes; Glomerales; Glomeraceae.